AGCGAACGCUGGCGGCAUGCUUAACACAUGCAAGUCGCACGGGCAGGGGUAACUCUGUCAGUGGCGGACGGGUGAGUAACGCGUAGGUAUCUAUCUCUGGGUGGGGGACAACUGUGGGAAACUACAGCUAAUACCGCAUGACACCUGAGGGUCAAAGGCGCAAGUCGCCUGGAGAGGAGCCUGCGUACGAUUAGCUAGUUGGUGGGGUAAAGGCCUACCAAGGCGACGAUCGUUAGCUGGUCUGAGAGGAUGAUCAGCCACAUUGGGACUGAGACACGGCCCAAACUCCUACGGGAGGCA
This 300-nucleotide ribosomal RNA is filed under the name uncultured bacterium. RNAcentral describes it as "bacterial SSU rRNA". It matches the Rfam family "Bacterial small subunit ribosomal RNA", at positions 29 to 350 of the family's 1533-position model. The record is from RNAcentral.